UGGGGAAUAUUGGGCAAUGGGCGAAAGCCUGACCCAGCAACGCCGCGUGAAGGAAGAAGGCUUUCGGGUUGUAAACUUCUUUUCUCAGGGACGAAGCAAGUGACGGUACCUGAGGAAUAAGCCACGGCUAACUACGUGCCAGCAGCCGCGGUAAUACGUAGGUGGCAAGCGUUAUCCGGAUUUACUGGGUGUAAAGGGCGUGUAGGCGGGAAAGCAAGUCAGAUGUGAAAACCAUGGGCUCAACCUGUGGCCUGCAUUUGAAACUGUUUUUCUUGAGUACUGGAGAGGCAGACGGAAUUCCUAGUGUAGCGGUGAAAUGCGUAGAUAUUAGGAGGAACACCAGUGGCGAAGGCGGUCUGCUGGACAGCAACUGACGCUGAGGCGCGAAAGCGUGGGGAGCAAACAGGAUUAGAUACC
This 417-nucleotide ribosomal RNA is filed under the name uncultured bacterium. RNAcentral describes it as "bacterial SSU rRNA". It matches the Rfam family "Bacterial small subunit ribosomal RNA", at positions 355 to 786 of the family's 1533-position model. The record is from RNAcentral.